Molecule: ribosomal RNA, 2426 nt
Filed under: Staphylococcus aureus
Lineage: Bacteria; Bacillati; Bacillota; Bacilli; Caryophanales; Staphylococcaceae
Description: partial 23S ribosomal RNA
Rfam family: Bacterial large subunit ribosomal RNA
Source: RNAcentral
UGGAAAGAUGAAUCAAAGAAGGUAAUAAUCCUGUAGUCGAAAAUGUUGUCUCUCUUGAGUGGAUCCUGAGUACGACGGAGCACGUGAAAUUCCGUCGGAAUCUGGGAGGACCAUCUCCUAAGGCUAAAUACUCUCUAGUGACCGAUAGUGAACCAGUACCGUGAGGGAAAGGUGAAAAGCACCCCGGAAGGGGAGUGAAAUAGAACCUGAAACCGUGUGCUUACAAGUAGUCAGAGCCCGUUAAUGGGUGAUGGCGUGCCUUUUGUAGAAUGAACCGGCGAGUUACGAUUUGAUGCAAGGUUAAGCAGUAAAUGUGGAGCCGUAGCGAAAGCGAGUCUGAAUAGGGCGUUUAGUAUUUGGUCGUAGACCCGAAACCAGGUGAUCUACCCUUGGUCAGGUUGAAGUUCAGGUAACACUGAAUGGAGGACCGAACCGACUUACGUUGAAAAGUGAGCGGAUGAACUGAGGGUAGCGGAGAAAUUCCAAUCGAACCUGGAGAUAGCUGGUUCUCUCCGAAAUAGCUUUAGGGCUAGCCUCAAGUGAUGAUUAUUGGAGGUAGAGCACUGUUUGGACGAGGGGCCCCUCUCGGGUUACCGAAUUCAGACAAACUCCGAAUGCCAAUUAAUUUAACUUGGGAGUCAGAACAUGGGUGAUAAGGUCCGUGUUCGAAAGGGAAACAGCCCAGACCACCAGCUAAGGUCCCAAAAUAUAUGUUAAGUGGAAAAGGAUGUGGCGUUGCCCAGACAACUAGGAUGUUGGCUUAGAAGCAGCCAUCAUUUAAAGAGUGCGUAAUAGCUCACUAGUCGAGUGACACUGCGCCGAAAAUGUACCGGGGCUAAACAUAUUACCGAAGCUGUGGAUUGUCCUUUGGACAAUGGUAGGAGAGCGUUCUAAGGGCGUUGAAGCAUGAUCGUAAGGACAUGUGGAGCGCUUAGAAGUGAGAAUGCCGGUGUGAGUAGCGAAAGACGGGUGAGAAUCCCGUCCACCGAUUGACUAAGGUUUCCAGAGGAAGGCUCGUCCGCUCUGGGUUAGUCGGGUCCUAAGCUGAGGCCGACAGGCGUAGGCGAUGGAUAACAGGUUGAUAUUCCUGUACCACCUAUAAUCGUUUUAAUCGAUGGGGGGACGCAGUAGGAUAGGCGAAGCGUGCGAUUGGAUUGCACGUCUAAGCAGUAAGGCUGAGUAUUAGGCAAAUCCGGUACUCAUUAAGGCUGAGCUGUGAUGGGGAGAAGACAUUGUGUCUUCGAGUCGUUGAUUUCACACUGCCGAGAAAAGCCUCUAGAUAGAAAAUAGGUGCCCGUACCGCAAACCGACACAGGUAGUCAAGAUGAGAAUUCUAAGGUGAGCGAGCGAACUCUCGUUAAGGAACUCGGCAAAAUGACCCCGUAACUUCGGGAGAAGGGGUGCUCUUUAGGGUUAACGCCCAGAAGAGCCGCAGUGAAUAGGCCCAAGCGACUGUUUAUCAAAAACACAGGUCUCUGCUAAACCGUAAGGUGAUGUAUAGGGGCUGACGCCUGCCCGGUGCUGGAAGGUUAAGAGGAGUGGUUAGCUUCUGCGAAGCUACGAAUCGAAGCCCCAGUAAACGGCGGCCGUAACUAUAACGGUCCUAAGGUAGCGAAAUUCCUUGUCGGGUAAGUUCCGACCCGCACGAAAGGCGUAACGAUUUGGGCACUGUCUCAACGAGAGACUCGGUGAAAUCAUAGUACCUGUGAAGAUGCAGGUUACCCGCGACAGGACGGAAAGACCCCGUGGAGCUUUACUGUAGCCUGAUAUUGAAAUUCGGCACAGCUUGUACAGGAUAGGUAGGAGCCUUUGAAACGUGAGCGCUAGCUUACGUGGAGGCGCUGGUGGGAUACUACCCUAGCUGUGUUGGCUUUCUAACCCGCACCACUUAUCGUGGUGGGAGACAGUGUCAGGCGGGCAGUUUGACUGGGGCGGUCGCCUCCUAAAAGGUAACGGAGGCGCUCAAAGGUUCCCUCAGAAUGGUUGGAAAUCAUUCAUAGAGUGUAAAGGCAUAAGGGAGCUUGACUGCGAGACCUACAAGUCGAGCAGGGUCGAAAGACGGACUUAGUGAUCCGGUGGUUCCGCAUGGAAGGGCCAUCGCUCAACGGAUAAAAGCUACCCCGGGGAUAACAGGCUUAUCUCCCCCAAGAGUUCACAUCGACGGGGAGGUUUGGCACCUCGAUGUCGGCUCAUCGCAUCCUGGGGCUGUAGUCGGUCCCAAGGGUUGGGCUGUUCGCCCAUUAAAGCGGUACGCGAGCUGGGUUCAGAACGUCGUGAGACAGUUCGGUCCCUAUCCGUCGUGGGCGUAGGAAAUUUGAGAGGAGCUGUCCUUAGUACGAGAGGACCGGGAUGGACAUACCUCUGGUGUACCAGUUGUCGUGCCAACGGCAUAGCUGGGUAGCUAUGUGUGGACGGGAUAAGUGCUG